Molecule: ribosomal RNA, 520 nt
Filed under: uncultured Acaulospora
Lineage: Eukaryota; Fungi; Glomeromycota; Glomeromycetes; Diversisporales; Acaulosporaceae
Description: SSU rRNA
Rfam family: Eukaryotic small subunit ribosomal RNA
Source: RNAcentral
AGCAGCCGCGGUAAUUCCAGCUCCAAUAGCGUAUAUUAAAGUUGUUGCAGUUAAAAAGCUCGUAGUUGAAUUUCGGGGUUCAUACGUUGGUCGGGCUUUUUGGUCUGUACUGGCGUAAUGGAUUCCUACCUUCUGAAUAACCGGCAUGCCAUUAAUUUGGUGCGCCGGGGAAGCAGGACUGUUACCUUGAAAAAAUUAGAGUGCUUAAAGCAGGCUAUCGCCUGAAUACAUUAGCAUGGAAUAAUGAAAUAGGACGGCAUGGUUCUAUUUUGUUGGUUUCUAGGAUCACCGUAAUGAUUAAUAGGGAUAGUUGGGGGCAUUAGUAUUCAAUUGUCAGAGGUGAAAUUCUUGGAUUUAUUGAAGACUAACUUCUGCGAAAGCAUUUGCCAAGGAUGUUUUCAUUAAUCAAGAACGAAAGUUAGGGGAUCGAAGACGAUCAGAUACCGUCGUAGUCUUAACCAUAAACUAUGCCGACUAGGGAUCGGACGAUGUUAAUUUUUUCAAUGACUCGUUCGGCGCC